AGCACUCCAUGCUCUCUCCAUCCCCAUACGCAACCUCUCGUCUUCUCGUUUCCCCUCUGCCUCACCGCCGCCGCCACUGCUUCCUCUUCACCCCCUGCAUCCUCUCCCCUCCGCUGGUGCGGAUGCUAGCCAUACCGCGCGGCACACGGAAAACGGCGGCGAUGACAGAUCUCUCCGUCUCGCAGGGCCAGGCCUCCCGUCUGCGCCGCGCCGGCGCCGGCAUGGAGGCCCGGGCUCGGACAGCCUCCACAAUGUUGGGUGCGCCGGCGAGGUGUCUUCUGCAGCGGCUGGCGGGCGUGUCAGUUCACUACUCAUCUCGUCCAUCUCCAAGCCUCCAAUAUGGUAAGUCCUCAAUUCCUCUUCCUCGGUUCCUCACAUUGUCAAUCUUUCGUGGUUUGAUUGAGUUUCAAAAAGGAAAAGUCUUGUUUUGAUUGAGGUUCAAAAUGAAGUAGAAAAAGCUUGGUUCAGUUUUGGUUGUCAUGGAUCCUUACCUGUAUUCAUGGGCGGAUCUAACUUAAAUGCAUGUUUCUCUCUCUUUUUUUUUUACAGUAGCAGGCUAGCAAGAUAUCUUUAUUAGGAUCAGUGCCUAUGGAGUAUGCACUAUGGAUGUUUAAAUUUGAUUGCCGCUGGGUGCUGUAGCAUGUACUGAAGUCUGAACUGUUGUUCUUAUGUGUUUUGGGUAAUUUGGGUGACGAAUUUGAUGCUUAGGUUAAAUGUUUGUGGGUUUCUUGGGGGAAAAAAUAGUGGUAGUUAAUUUAUUGGCAUCGGUCAGCAGUUUGCACUGCUGGUUUAGGAUCUGCAUCGUUAAGGUCUUUAGUUAAUUGCUCUGCUAUCUGCAAUCUUCAAAAGCAAAAUGAAGCCUGGAGCAUAACAGAGGAAACUAGAUAAAAAAAACAGUACCGCAGGAGCAAAACGGUACAGCGGAUGAUGCCAGCGUGAAUGACGAUUAACUUCUCUGACCUUGUGGUAGGCUGAAUCUGAAUCACAUUAAUGGGUGACCUUUCUCGUAAUCCUUUUUCUGAAAGCAUUAAACAAUGGCUUAGACUGGCAUUUUGGUAGUUGUGUAAGCUGAAACAUGAAGCUAAGCUGAACAAUUUACUGUCCUUUUUUCGCAUGAGAUCACAUUUUGGUAGUUGCAAAGCCUAAACCAUGAUGCUUUUUGCUGCUUCUGUAGUCUCUAAGGAAGUUGUAAGAUUAUAUACUUAAGCUAAGUUUCUUCUGCUUCAAUAAAACACAGGUUGGUAGUUGCAUAACUUGAACUAUGAUGCUUUCUUGCUGCUGUUGUCGUCUCUAAUGGAAUUGCGAGAUAAUUUAGUUAAUCUCAAUGGUCUGCACUCUAAAUAAAUCAUAAGAGCCAUUCAGAAGAAGAUAGGGUACUAUUAUACAUUGGCCAUGUAAUGUACAUAUUAAGACAACAGACAAAAUUUAAUUGUGAUACUUCAGAUUUGCAGAGUUUUUUGUUGUUGAAAUUUCGUCCAGGUCAUCCUCCUCUCUGGUUUUGCUGAUUCCGACGGCAUCUGCUUGACCUACAGGAUAUCUGUGACAUUUGUUCGCAUUGGGUGUCAAUGCUGGCGACGAAAAGAUUAUUAAUGCUCUUAUUGGGGUGUCAGUGUUGGAAGCUGCUCAUGAGAAAUAUAACUUGAAGGUCCUCUGCAGUGCUACUUUUUUAUUUACUGAUUUUGGUUUUAGUUAAGAACAAUAGGCAGUGAUUCCAUGCUUGUACUUGACCUCAUGUGCUUCCUUUGACUUGAUAUCUCCUUUUUUAACUGUGAGAGUAAUUAGUCGCAUCAUAUAUCACAAGGAAUUCUACUAACCAUGUAAAAGGCUUAAUGACAAAUUGAGUACAGAUCUAUCUGAAUUUUUUUGUACACUGAAGCAGUUUCUAAGGUUUCAUCUUCACCAUCAUCAGUCAUAUCAAAGACAGGUUUCCUGACAACUAGAUACUUUAACUUUUAUAGAUUAUAUCAUGGCCUCAGUGAAAACUUUAAUAAUUAUAUCUUUUAGUCAUGUGUAAUUUUGUCCUUCUUUCAUCUGCUUGGCUGAAAAUCAUUUGUAGUUGUGUAAACUGCUUGAUUUUAUCCUCUUUCUUGCGAAAAAUGGUUUGCUUGCAGAAUAUGCCCAUUAUUAAGAUAAUGUCUUAUGUUGAUAGGUAAGUUCAAAAUUGGGUAGAGAUAUAUCAUUGCUACCUUUCCCUCCUUGUACACCUCCUUUGAUUUUGCAUCCUGUUAAAAAUUUUGGUCAAAUUUUGUAGCAUGUUGACUUAAUACAGUACAAGACAUACUUACCUAAAAUUUGAUACACAUGAGCUAAUUGUGUGACCUUUUCCCUAACAUUUUGACAGAGGAGCUAAUUCUGUAGCAUGAUCUACGAUUUCUGCUUCAACGCUCAACUUAUCAAGUCAACAAAUGUUCACUUUCAGGUAUAUGUCUAUUCAAUGUCGCGCCUCUUUUCCCCUGUUCCAAAAGUUUGCUUGAUCGCGCCCACGCCAUGGCCGUCGUGCUCCUUUUUGCUCUGCCUGUCAACCAGAUCGGCCGAUGAGGCAGUGGACCAUGGAGAGAGGCCAUCCAUGGUGCGCGCAUCCCCCACACUCGCUCGUCUUUUCCUCCUCGGCUCCGCGGACGCCGGGUGCUCGGGCAUGGCCGCCGCCAUGCCCUGCUCCUGCUGACCUUCAUCAAAAGCGGAUAACUGAGGGCUCUUCUGUUAUCAAGCUGCUUCUUUUUUGUGCCAACAGUUGCAAGUUAACUUAUUAAUAGUUGGAUACGGGCAUAUCUCAGAUUUUGAGAUUGGACAAAAUACUGAAUAAAAUGGUAACUAGAGGAAAACAAUUGCUCCUGAUACAUCAUAUCUGUAUGAUAUUGUUGCUAUAAGUCUCGGGAGGCGCGCACACCGAGGCCUGCACACUACAGAAACAUUAUAGUCAUUUAGUUUUCUUUCUUCGAAGUGCUAUUUCUCUGUUUCUUUCCUAAUAGUGGAACAAAAUUACCGUUUCUUGGGCGUCAUGUCACAAGGAGGACGUCGGGCUGCCCAUUUUAGCGCACCAUGCCACAAGUUCCAGAAUAUUAUUUUGUCUCCUAAUUAAUGAUUUUGCGACUACUUUCAUUUAACAAGGCUUAUGUGUGCAUAAGUUUGUUACUGAAUCUGGGAGAUGUAGCUAAAUAUAGAAUAAAAUGUGCUUCUUUGCAUUAGGCAGAUGGAACUGUUCAGUUUAUACUUGUUGUUAAUCUUCUGUGUAUUGUGUAUAUAUGGUGCAUUCCUUAUUUGGUUUGCACACCACAGAGUAAACUGAAAUAAGGUAACUUGCAUUUUGUCAAGGAGGUUUGGUUCUAUUUUUUUUCUAUGAAAAAAUUAGUUCUCGACUUCUAUGCCAUCUUUCGUUGUUACAGGUAUGAAGCCUUGUUUUACUAUCCUCGGGAUAAACAUGUUUCAGAUACUAAACAAGGGAACAUCCGUGCCCUUUUGUGAUGUUAACCAUGUUAACCAUCUUACGCCAGGGCCGACGAGGAAGAGGACCGGCGGAGUGGGGUUCGACAAGGUGGCGGUGGUUACUUUGUAUAUCCUGUUGGUUUGUGGUUAUGUAAUUCCUAUAGCUGUAACUUUUGCGCAUUCAUAAGGCCUUUAUAGAAUGCUAAAAGCUUCAGACCUUUGCAUCAACCAAAGCUUACUCUUAGAAACUUGGUUUAAGUUAAAUUUGCUCCAAGUAAUUAAGGAUAUUAGGCCUCUGCAAGAAAAGUAAGAAUCUGAAUCCGUAAGUAAUUAUAACCACUCAAGUGUGAUAUUCUUGUGUUGCUUAAAUUUCCAGUUAAGAUAUCUUUUUGAUAUAGAUUGCCGGGUUCCGUUCUCACAUAAAACUCCCAGUUUUGUGAUCAGCAUGUACCUGUAUAUGAUGUUUCUGCUAGAAGCUCUGCUUACUUUGAUGUACAUCUCUUUUUCUGAAAAAGUCACUAACAAUUUGUUUGGCUGAAUAUCUUAUGUCAACUGGAUUCCAUCUCUAUUUCUGUAAAUCUCUUUCCUGAAAAGGUCAGUGAAAAGGUGGUGUGAAGUGAGGGGAUGUAGAGAUGGAUGAGGACGUUGGCAGGAAGUAGUUGCAGCUCGACGGCCGGAAGCAGCAGCUCGCCCUCUGCUAGGUCUUCACCUCCGCCCUUAGUCUACCUUUAGCAGCGGCCAGUUAUACUCAGCUUCGUUGCUCCCACUCCUGUUCCUCGCUCUUUCUUAUAUAGGUUUCCAUUUAAUGGCAGCUCUCUCUCCUUUUUCCAUCUCUCUGUUUUGUAGAUAGCAGAGCAACCUAUCAUAUAUACACACUGAAAUUGAUCUGUUGUAAGCUUAUUCAGAUUUUAUUUCUUUCUUAUUGAUUCAUCAAGGAAUGGUUGUAAUGAAUAUUUUAUA
Long non-coding RNA from Triticum aestivum (bread wheat), 4383 nucleotides. RefSeq lists it as uncharacterized. The transcript is spliced from 2 exons. NCBI's taxonomy places the organism in Eukaryota, Viridiplantae, Streptophyta, Magnoliopsida, Poales, Poaceae. The record is from RefSeq and is a predicted model, not a curated record.